Molecule: small nuclear RNA, 180 nt
Filed under: Zea mays
Lineage: Eukaryota; Viridiplantae; Streptophyta; Magnoliopsida; Poales; Poaceae
Description: U2 spliceosomal RNA
Rfam family: U2 spliceosomal RNA
About the family: U2 is a small nuclear RNA (snRNA) component of the spliceosome (involved in pre-mRNA splicing). Complementary binding between U2 snRNA (in an area lying towards the 5' end but 3' to hairpin I) and the branchpoint sequence (BPS) of the intron results the bulging out of an unpaired adenosine, on the BPS, which initiates a nucleophilic attack at the intronic 5' splice site, thus starting the first of two transesterification reactions that mediate splicing.
Source: Rfam by way of RNAcentral
AUAUCUUUUCUGACGUUUUGACUAAUAUAAAGUGUAGUAUUUGUUUUUAUCAGUUAUUUAAUAUCUGAUAUGUGGACUAUAUGUUCACUUUGAUAUUAAAUUUAUAUUUUAUGAGUAUCAAAUAUGAUUGUAACGUACGAGUAUUGUACUAGCAAGUGUAAUAAUCGAGAUCCAUCCCAA